Molecule: ribosomal RNA, 456 nt
Filed under: Euhamitermes sp. A TB-2017
Lineage: Eukaryota; Metazoa; Arthropoda; Insecta; Blattodea; Termitidae
Description: partial 16S ribosomal RNA
Rfam family: Bacterial large subunit ribosomal RNA
Source: RNAcentral
AUUGAAUAGUUAGUUGAAUUUGGUUUUUGAGUUAAAAUUCUUAGAUAUUUUUAUGGGACGAGAAGACCCUAUAGAGUUUUACAUUUAAUUUAUUUAAUUUAUUGUUUGUUUUGUUUAUACUGAUUAAUUUAAGUGUUUUGUUGGGGUGAUGGGAGGAAUUUAUCUAACUCCUCUUUAUUUGUUAUAUUUAUAUAUAAUUGUUUUUGAUCCAUUUAUUUUGAUUAUAAGAUUAAAUUACCUUAGGGAUAACAGCGUUAUCUUCCUUGAGAGUUCUUAUUGGCGGGAAGGUUUGCGACCUCGAUGUUGGAUUAAGGUGAAUUUUCGGUGUAGGAGCUGAAAGUGGUUGGGUCUGUUCGACCUUUAAAAUCUUACAUGAUCUGAGUUCAGACCGGCGUGAGCCAGGUUGGUUUCUAUCUAUAAUAGUUUUUUAUAUCUUAGUACGAGAGGACCGGAUAU